RNAcentral lists this ribosomal RNA (291 nucleotides) under uncultured bacterium. RNAcentral describes it as "partial 16S ribosomal RNA". It matches the Rfam family "Bacterial small subunit ribosomal RNA", at positions 336 to 643 of the family's 1533-position model. The record is from RNAcentral.
UUCCUACGGGGGGCAGCAGUGGGGAAUAUUGGGCAAUGGGCGCAAGCCUGACCCAGCAACGCCGCGUGAAGGAAGACGGUUUUCGGAUUGUAAACUUCUGUUCUUAGUGAAGAAAAAUGACGGUAGCUAAGGAGCAAGCCACGGCUAACUACGUGCCAGCAGCCGCGGUAAUACGUAGGUGGCAAGCGUUGUCCGGAAUUACUGGGUGUAAAGGGAGCGCAGGCGGGAAGCCAAGUCAGCUGUGAAAACUACGGGCUUAACUUGUAGACUGCAGUUGAAACUGGGUUUCUU